CAAAACGAACAUAUAUACGGCUAUUGGUUUUAUUACAGUGGCAGGAUUUUUUUCAGAAUAUAUAUAUUUUUGUACUUGCUAACUGGUUGAAGUUACUCAUGUGUUGCAUUCAACGAUUUAGAAACCCGGAAAUAUCCGAGUUUCCUAGUUCCGACGAGCACUUGAACGCGGCACAAGAGGAGCGACACAAAUCUUUGACGUCGUCGUGCAAGAGAAGGCAGAAGAAGGAAGCUCCAGUAGGGUUUGUGUACUUUGGUGUUUAACGUUGUUAUUAUAACGUUACCCUGUUAAACAAGACAUCACCUACGCCCAACUUUAGCCGUUUAGUAAGUGUCAAGACAAGCCAGAAAACUCAGGAGGUUGGUGUGUUGUGGGCUGUCCGUAAAGUCCUAAAAUAUGCCCCUGAGGAUGCAAAAUCUGACCCAUCACACUACUCUUCAAGAGGGCCACUACGCUCCAGAUUGUCUUCUGUCCUCAGAGGUCCUUGUUGAGGAUCUACCCUAUCAUAUCACUCAUAUUGUUCAGUAAUACAAAUAAAACAAUGGGCCUUUA
Oncorhynchus kisutch (coho salmon) is the source of this 552-nucleotide long non-coding RNA. RefSeq lists it as uncharacterized. The record is from RefSeq and is a predicted model, not a curated record. Lineage: Eukaryota; Metazoa; Chordata; Actinopteri; Salmoniformes; Salmonidae. The transcript is spliced from 3 exons.